AUACGGAGGGUGCAAGCGUUACUCGGAAUCACUGGGCGUAAAGCGUGCGCAGGCGGCUAUUUAAGUUGGAUGUGAAAGCCUACGGCUCAACCGUAGAACUGCAUCCAAAACUAUUUAGCUAGAGUGUGGGAGAGGAAGAUGGAAUUAGUUGUGUAGGGGUAAAAUCCGUAGAGAUAACUAGGAAUACCAAAAGCGAAGGCAAUCUUCUGGAACACUACUGACGCUGAGGCGCGAAAGCGUGGGGAGCAAACGGGAUUAGAAACCCUAGUAGUCC
RNAcentral lists this ribosomal RNA (274 nucleotides) under uncultured bacterium. Its description in RNAcentral is "partial 16S ribosomal RNA". It matches the Rfam family "Bacterial small subunit ribosomal RNA", at positions 523 to 796 of the family's 1533-position model. The record is from RNAcentral.